AAACUUACCUGGCUGGGAGGGUCUCGCGAUCAACAAGGCGGGACCUCCACGCUGAGGCUUGGCCAUUGCACUCUGGGUCGGGUUGACGCGUGUGGC
Molecule: small nuclear RNA, 96 nt
Filed under: Brugia timori
Lineage: Eukaryota; Metazoa; Nematoda; Chromadorea; Rhabditida; Onchocercidae
Description: U1 spliceosomal RNA
Rfam family: U1 spliceosomal RNA
About the family: U1 is a small nuclear RNA (snRNA) component of the spliceosome (involved in pre-mRNA splicing). Its 5' end forms complementary base pairs with the 5' splice junction, thus defining the 5' donor site of an intron.
Source: Rfam by way of RNAcentral